RNAcentral lists this ribosomal RNA (541 nucleotides) under uncultured bacterium. RNAcentral's name for it is "bacterial SSU rRNA". It matches the Rfam family "Bacterial small subunit ribosomal RNA", at positions 355 to 896 of the family's 1533-position model. The record is from RNAcentral.
UGAGGAAUAUUGGGCAAUGGGCGCAAGCCUGACCCAGCGACGCCGCGUGUGGGAUGACAGGGCUAUGCCUUGUAAACCACUGUCGGGUGGGACGAAAAGCGAGCUACGGCUCGCCGGGACGGUACCACCAAAGGAAGGGUCGGCUAACUACGUGCCAGCAGCCGCGGUAAUACGUAGGACCCAAGCGUUAUCCGGAUUCACUGGGUGUAAAGGGUGUGUAGGCGGGCGUGCGCGUCCGGGGUGAAAGGUUCCGGCUCAACCGGAAACAUGCCUUGGAUACGGCACGUCUUGAGUGCGGGAGAGGACGGUGGAAUUCCUGGUGUAGCGGUGAAAUGCGUAGAUAUCAGGAGGAACACCAGUGGCGAAGGCGGCCGUCUGGCCCGCAACUGACGCUGAAACACGAAAGCGUGGGGAUCAAACAGGAUUAGAUACCCUGGUAGUCCACGCCCUAAACGAUGCAUGCUUGGUGUCGGCGCCUUGUGCGUCGGUGCCGUAGGUAACCCAGUAAGCAUGCCACCUGGGAAGUACGGUCGCAAGGCUG